Molecule: ribosomal RNA, 356 nt
Filed under: Sardinops sagax (South American pilchard)
Lineage: Eukaryota; Metazoa; Chordata; Actinopteri; Clupeiformes; Clupeidae
Description: partial 16S ribosomal RNA
Rfam family: Bacterial large subunit ribosomal RNA
Source: RNAcentral
GCAAUCAAUUGUCUUUUAAAUGGAGACCUGUAUGAAUGGCAUAACGAGGGUUCAACUGUCUCUUUUUUCCGGUCAAUGAAACUGAUCUGCCCGUGCAGAAGCGGGCAUAUUUACACAAGACGAGAAGACCCUAUGGAGCUUUAGACACCAACCAACCACGAAAAGCGACCCUGAUUGGAGCCCCAAACAACGUGAUUCUGGCAUAAGUGUCUUCGGUUGGGGCGACCACGGGAGAUAGCACAGCUCCCGAGUGGAUGGGGGACACCCUAAAACCCAGAGCCACAGCUCUAAGUCACAAAACAUUUGACCAAUAAUGAUCCGGCUUAAUGCCGACCAACGGACCAAGUUACCCUAGA